GACGAACGCUGGCGGCGUGCUUAACACAUGCAAGUCGAGCGGAAAGGCCCCCUUGUGGGCUACUCGAGUGGCGACCGGGUGGGUAACACGUGAGUACCCUACCCUUUCCUUUGGGAUAACUUCCGGAAACUGGGGCUAAUACCGGAUAGGUGCUCCUGCUGCACGGUGGUGGUUGGAAAGUUUCGGCGGUUGGGGAUGGACUCGCGGCUAAUCAGCUGGUUGGUGGGGUAGUGGCUCACCAGGGCUUUGGCGGGUAGCCGGCCUGAGAGGGGGACCGCCCACCGUGCGACUGAGAUACGGCCCGGAGGCGUACGGGAGGCAGCAGUGGGGAAGAUUGCACAAUCGACCCAAGCCUGAUGAAGCAACGCCGCGUGCGGGAUGGUGGCCUUCUUGUGGAAAACGGUAUUCCCCUGCGACGAAGCGUGACUGACGGUAAUGGAUGAAUAAGCACCGGCUAACUACGUG
This 465-nucleotide ribosomal RNA is filed under the name uncultured bacterium. RNAcentral's name for it is "partial 16S ribosomal RNA". It matches the Rfam family "Bacterial small subunit ribosomal RNA", at positions 28 to 507 of the family's 1533-position model. The record is from RNAcentral.